GCCAGGAUGGCCGAGUGGUUAAGGCGUUGGACUUAAGAUCCAAUGGAUGUAUAUCUGUGUGGGUUUGAACCCCACUCCUGGUA
RNAcentral lists this transfer RNA (83 nucleotides) under Xenopus tropicalis (tropical clawed frog). Its description in RNAcentral is "tRNA-Leu (TAA) (tRNA-Leu-TAA-21-1)". It matches the Rfam family "tRNA". Rfam says of the family: Transfer RNA (tRNA) molecules are approximately 80 nucleotides in length. Their secondary structure includes four short double-helical elements and three loops (D, anti-codon, and T loops). Lineage: Eukaryota; Metazoa; Chordata; Amphibia; Anura; Pipidae. The record is from RNAcentral.